Paramisgurnus dabryanus is the source of this 749-nucleotide non-coding RNA. The record is from RefSeq and is a predicted model, not a curated record. NCBI's taxonomy places the organism in Eukaryota, Metazoa, Chordata, Actinopteri, Cypriniformes, Cobitidae.
AAUAGGCUAACAUUGCAAUUUCAACAUCAUAUCAUUGAACUUGCAUUAUAUAUUGAUUUCACAAAGUUAGUCCACAUAAAUUUGUUAGUGUUUAUAUUCAAACAACACACGUGACGGACCUGACUAAACCUCAUUGGUUCUUGGGAUUCAGUACGUCACAUUGGCUUCCUGAUUCAGUUGUUCGAUACACAACGUGCGUGAUCGUUGGUAAAUGUGGAUUAAAAGUUGAAACUAAAACUGUUAAAUUAUAUAUAGUGAUCAUCAGAGGACUUGGCUGAAACAACGCGAUUCACAUGGAUUACUUCGGCGAUGUUUUUUAUUGCUGUUGCGAUUAACUUUUUGAAAUGUGAGCAGUUUUUAAGUAUCAAGUGGAUCUGACAUCGAGGGGAAAUAUACGUUUCUUGGAUUUCAUUAAAGUACAUCGGUUUUUGUUUGAAGAUGAAUGAGAGAACAUGAGGCACAGCGGCAUUCAAAUUGACCAAUCAGAGCCGAGAAUAUCUAAUAAGUCGAAGUAGAGAUGAACAGAUGAAGAUACAGCCCGUAAAAAUACUUAUUCUUGGUGAGUGCCAUGUAGCGACGGAUCAAACGGACACUCAUGUCAAGCUUGAUGAGGACACAGUCAAAGCUUUAAAAGACCUUGUGAUUAAGUCUUCAGUGUCUGAAUGGCAAGAAGAAGUGACCCUCCACUUAAACGUGACAUUUAAACUGCUCUGUGUUUUGGUUCAGCCAUUUGUAGGUUUAUCUCGAGU